This 473-nucleotide ribosomal RNA is filed under the name uncultured bacterium. Its description in RNAcentral is "partial 16S ribosomal RNA". It matches the Rfam family "Bacterial small subunit ribosomal RNA", at positions 36 to 538 of the family's 1533-position model. The record is from RNAcentral.
AACGAACGCUGGCGGCAUGCCUAACACAUGCAAGUCGAACGAGACCUUCGGGUCUAGUGGCGCACGGGUGCGUAACGCGUGGGAACCUGCCCUUAGGUUCGGAAUAACUCCCCGAAAGGGGUGCUAAUACCGGAUAAUGUCUUCGGACCAAAGAUUUAUCGCCUUUGGAUGGGCCCGCGUUGGAUUAGCUAGUUGGUAGGGUAAAAGCCUACCAAGGCGACGAUCCAUAGCUGGUCUGAGAGGAUGAUCAGCCACACUGGGACUGAGACACGGCCCAGACAGGGGGGAGGGGGGGGAGUGGGGAAUAGGGGAGAGUGGGAGAAAGGACGAACGAGGAAGGCGGCGUGAGAGAGGAAGGCCGUGUGGUUGUAAAGGUCUUAUAGCGGGGAGGAGAAGGACAGUAGGGGGAGAAUACGCCCCGGCUAACCCCGUGACAGCGGCCGCGGUAAGAAGGGAAAGAGAACUCGUGGGAA